This 465-nucleotide ribosomal RNA is filed under the name uncultured bacterium. RNAcentral's name for it is "bacterial SSU rRNA". It matches the Rfam family "Bacterial small subunit ribosomal RNA", at positions 338 to 795 of the family's 1533-position model. The record is from RNAcentral.
CCUACGGGGGGCAGCAGUGGGGAAUUUUGGACAAUGGGCGCAAGCCUGAUCCAGCCAUGCCGCGUGUGGGAAGAAGGCCUUCGGGUUGUAAACCACUUUUGUCAGGGAAGAAACGGUCUGAUCUAAUAAAUCGGACUAAUGACGGUACCUGAAGAAUAAGCACCGGCUAACUACGUGCCAGCAGCCGCGGUAAUACGUAGGGUGCAAGCGUUAAUCGGAAUUACUGGGCGUAAAGCGUGCGCAGGCGGCUAUGCAAGACAGAUGUGAAAUCCCCGGGCUCAACCUGGGAACUGCAUUUGUGACUGCAUGGCUAGAGUACGGUAGAGGGGGAUGGAAUUCCGCGUGUAGCAGUGAAAUGCGUAGAUAUGCGGAGGAACACCGAUGGCGAAGGCAAUCCCCUGGACCUGUACUGACGCUCAUGCACGAAAGCGUGGGGAGCAAACAGGAUUAGAUACCCCGGUAGUC